Molecule: ribosomal RNA, 206 nt
Filed under: Megasphaera micronuciformis
Lineage: Bacteria; Bacillati; Bacillota; Negativicutes; Veillonellales; Veillonellaceae
Description: partial 23S ribosomal RNA
Rfam family: Bacterial large subunit ribosomal RNA
Source: RNAcentral
GUUAUGCCGCCAGGCGUACAGCCGAGUAGCUACGUUCGGGACGGAUAAACGCUGAAAGCAUCUAAGCGUGAAACCAGCCUAAAGAUGAGGUUUCUCAUUGCGUAAGCAAGUAAGGCCCCAUGAAGACGACAUGGUUGAUAGGCCGGGAGUGGAAGUGCAGCAAUGCAUGGAGCGGACCGGUACUAAUAGGCCGAGGACUUAUCUUA